This 34-nucleotide transfer RNA is filed under the name Dromiciops gliroides (monito del monte). Its description in RNAcentral is "partial transfer RNA-Phe (GAA)". The record is from RNAcentral. Lineage: Eukaryota; Metazoa; Chordata; Mammalia; Microbiotheria; Microbiotheriidae.
UGCUUAGACGGGCUUUCACAAGCCCCAUAAACAC